UCAAUCAAAAUCUUUUCUUUUUUUUGUGAUAAGAAAUUCAAUCAAAAUCACAUCCCCUAAAGACCUAGUUUCUCUCGCUAAUUGUCCAAGCAAAAGUCUCUUUGUGAUGGAGAGAACUCAUGGUCAUUCAAUUGGUGUUCCAAGCUUGAUCCGACCGCAAGGCUGCAACAAAUCCACCUGCAUCUCUUUUACCAAUGCCCAAGGAUGAUACGGACGAGGUAGACAAGGCUCUCUAUUGGACUCAUGAAUAGAUGCCGCUACAUGCAUUCUCAUAGCCCUAGCAGUUGAUUUUAAGGCCACAACUCCCCAUCGAAAUCUAUCGAAUCCUUGGUAGCUUCUUUAUCUUUUUCUACCUAUACUUCCAAUGACCCAAAACUUUUGAGAGAGACUAUUAGAGGAGAGUGGGGUCUUAAUGAUUCAACGGAUGUAAUAGCUCAUAGACAAAAAUGGUUUGAUGAUUCAAAUGAAGAUGUUAUUGCAAAAUCACUAAAUGCAGAUUUGAUUUAGAAUGUGGAUGGUACUUCUGAGACCAUGGUGAGAAUGCAAUUAUGAUUGGGAGAAUCAAAGAGGGAGUCAUUGAUAGGGCUUUGAAAACAGCUAUGUUGUUCUCAUGAGACUUGGAUUCUUUGAAGGCAUCCCUUCACUUGAAGUGUUUGAUAUAUAGGUGGAAAGUUGCCUCUUACAUGGUACAUUAAUGACUAUACAGACAAAUUGCCCAUGAAUUCCAUGUCCCUAAGGCCACUUCCAGAAUUUGGCUAUCCUAGAAGGCCUUAUAAGUUCUUCAAUGGUGAAACCCUUUAUCCUUUUGGUUAUAGCCUCAGCUACACGGUUUAAAUACUCAAUGAUAUCUUCUGCUCAAGCACUUCAAAUGAAGUUAGGAAGGCUCCAACAUUGUUGUGAUCUCACUUAUGAGGCUUACACUGCCGUCCAGGGAGAACAUGAUUGUGGUUGGAGAUGCAAAGCUCUUUUUACCAGUUCAAAUCAAUAUUAACUAACCACAACUAGAUGGUUACUUAGAUCGUUAAAGUUAGCUUAAGUUCUUUUUUUUUUUUUUUUUCUCCAACUCCAGUAAUAGUUAGGAGUGGUUAUUUGUACUUGAGUUCCUUAGUUUAAUCCUUUGUUACCGCGAUACAAUAUGAUGGGAUCUAUUGAGUUUCUCAGUAAUUAAACAUU
Macadamia integrifolia is the source of this 1173-nucleotide long non-coding RNA. RefSeq lists it as uncharacterized. The record is from RefSeq and is a predicted model, not a curated record. The transcript has 3 exons. Lineage: Eukaryota; Viridiplantae; Streptophyta; Magnoliopsida; Proteales; Proteaceae.